This 429-nucleotide ribosomal RNA is filed under the name Bacteroidota bacterium. Its description in RNAcentral is "Bacteroidetes bacterium partial 16S ribosomal RNA". It matches the Rfam family "Bacterial small subunit ribosomal RNA", at positions 355 to 776 of the family's 1533-position model. The record is from RNAcentral. Lineage: Bacteria; Pseudomonadati; Bacteroidota.
UAGGGAAUCUUCCGCAAUGGACGCAAGUCUGACGGAGCAACGCCGCGUGAGUGAAGAAGGUUUUCGGAUCGUAAAGCUCUGUUGUUAAGGAAGAACGAGUGUGAGAAUGGAAAGUUCAUGCUGUGACGGUACUUAACCAGAAAGGGACGGCUAAUUACGUGCCAGCAGCCGCGGUAAUACGUAAGGUCCGAGCGUUGUCCGGAAUCAUUGGGCGUAAAGGGUACGUAGGCGGGUAAGCAAGUUAGAAGUGAAAUCCUGUAGCUCAACUACAGUAAGCUUUUAAAACUGCUCAUCUUGAGAUAUGGAAGGGAAAGUGGAAUUCCUAGUGUAGCGGUGAAAUGCGCAGAUAUUAGGAGGAAUACCGGUGGCGAAGGCGACUUUCUGGCCAUAAUCUGACGCUGAGGUACGAAAGCGUGGGUAGCAAACAGG